Molecule: ribosomal RNA, 446 nt
Filed under: uncultured bacterium
Lineage: Bacteria
Description: partial 16S ribosomal RNA
Rfam family: Bacterial small subunit ribosomal RNA
Source: RNAcentral
CCUACGGUGGGCAGCAGUGGGGAAUAUUGCACAAUGGGGGAAACCCUGAUGCAGCGACGCCGCGUGAGUGAGGAAGUAUUUCGGUAUGUAAAGCUCUAUCAGCCGGGGAGAAAGAGCAAUUUGACGGUACCUGAAGAAUAAGCUCCGGCUAACUACGUGCCAGCAGCCGCGGUAAUACGUAGGGAACGAGCGUUAUCCGGAAUUAUUGGGUGUAAAGGGUGCGUAGAUGGCCUAGUAAGUCGUUGGUAAAAAGGCUGGGCUCAACCCAGGAGGGCAAAAGCUACUGCAGAGCUAGAGUUGGACAGAGGGAAGGGGAACUACAGGUGUAGCGGUAAAAUGCGUAAAUAUAUGGAAGAACCCCAGUGGCGAAGGCGGCGUGCUGGGUCAACACUGACACUGAGGCACGAAAGCGUGGGGAGCAAACAGGAUUAGAUACCCUUGUAGUC